UACGGGAGGCAGCAGUGAGGAAUAUUGGUCAAUGGGCGAGAGCCUGAACCAGCCAAGUAGCGUGCAGGAUGACGGCCCUAUGGGUUGUAAACUGCUUUUAUGCGGGGAUAAAGUGGGGGACGUGUCCCCCUUUGUAGGUACCGCAUGAAUAAGGACCGGCUAAUUCCGUGCCAGCAGCCGCGGUAAU
RNAcentral lists this ribosomal RNA (187 nucleotides) under uncultured rumen bacterium. Its description in RNAcentral is "partial 16S ribosomal RNA". It matches the Rfam family "Bacterial small subunit ribosomal RNA", at positions 340 to 524 of the family's 1533-position model. The record is from RNAcentral.